This 1311-nucleotide ribosomal RNA is filed under the name uncultured bacterium. RNAcentral's name for it is "bacterial SSU rRNA". It matches the Rfam family "Bacterial small subunit ribosomal RNA", at positions 94 to 1399 of the family's 1533-position model. The record is from RNAcentral.
AGUGGCGGACGGGUGAGUAACGCGUGGGUAACCUGCCCUGUACCGGGGGACAACAGCCAGAAAUGGCUGCUAAUACCGCAUAAGCCUGCUGUGCCGCAUGGCACAGCAGGGAAAACCACGGUGGUACAGGAUGGGCCCGCGUCUGAUUAGUUAGUUGGCAGGGUAACGGCCUACCAAGACAACGAUCAGUAGCCGGCUUGAGAGAGUGGACGGCCACAUUGGGACUGAGACACGGCCCAAACUCCUACGGGAGGCAGCAGUAGGGAAUCUUCCACAAUGGACGAAAGUCUGAUGGAGCAACGCCGCGUGAGUGAAGAAGGGUUUCGGCUCGUAAAGCUCUGUUGGUAGUGAAGAAAGAUAGAGGUAGUAACUGGCCUUUAUUUGACGGUAAUUACUUAGAAAGUCACGGCUAACUACGUGCCAGCAGCCGCGGUAAUACGUAGGUGGCAAGCGUUGUCCGGAUUUAUUGGGCGUAAAGCGAGUGCAGGCGGUUCAAUAAGUCUGAUGUGAAAGCCUUCGGCUCAACCGGAGAAUUGCAUCAGAAACUGUUGAACUUGAGUGCAGAAGAGGAGAGUGGAACUCCAUGUGUAGCGGUGGAAUGCGUAGAUAUAUGGAAGAACACCAGUGGCGAAGGCGGCUCUCUGGUCUGCAACUGACGCUGAGGCUCGAAAGCAUGGGUAGCGAACAGGAUUAGAUACCCUGGUAGUCCAUGCCGUAAACGAUGAGUGCUAAGUGUUGGGAGGUUUCCGCCUCUCAGUGCUGCAGCUAACGCAUUAAGCACUCCGCCUGGGGAGUACGACCGCAAGGUUGAAACUCAAAGGAAUUGACGGGGGCCCGCACAAGCGGUGGAGCAUGUGGUUUAAUUCGAAGCAACGCGAAGAACCUUACCAGGUCUUGACAUCCAGUGCAAACCUAAGAGAUUAGGUGUUCCCUUCGGGGACGCUGAGACAGGUGGUGCAUGGCUGUCGUCAGCUCGUGUCGUGAGAUGUUGGGUUAAGUCCCGCAACGAGCGCAACCCUUGUCAUUAGUUGCCAUCAUUAAGUUGGGCACUCUAAUGAGACUGCCGGUGACAAACCGGAGGAAGGUGGGGAUGACGUCAAGUCAUCAUGCCCCUUAUGACCUGGGCUACACACGUGCUACAAUGGACGGUACAACGAGAAGCGAACCUGCGAAGGCAAGCGGAUCUCUUAAAGCCGUUCUCAGUUCGGACUGUAGGCUGCAACUCGCCAACACGAAGCUGGAAUCGCUAGUAAUCGCGGAUCAGCACACCGCGGUGAAUACGUUCCCGGGCCUUGCACACACCGCCCGUCA